This 253-nucleotide ribosomal RNA is filed under the name uncultured bacterium. RNAcentral describes it as "partial 16S ribosomal RNA". It matches the Rfam family "Bacterial small subunit ribosomal RNA", at positions 524 to 776 of the family's 1533-position model. The record is from RNAcentral.
UACGGAGGAUGCAAGCGUUAUCCGGAAUUAUUGGGCGUAAAGCGUCCGCAGGUGGCAAUGUAAGUCUGCUGUUAAAGAGUCUGGCUCAACUAGAUAAAAGCAGUGGAAACUACAUAGCUAGAGUACGUUCGGGGCAGAGGGAAUUCCUGGUGUAGCGGUGAAAUGCGUAGAGAUCAGGAAGAACACCAGUGGCGAAGGCGGUCUGCUAGGCCGUAACUGACACUGAGGGACGAAAGCUAGGGGAGCGAAUGGG